Molecule: ribosomal RNA, 678 nt
Filed under: uncultured Coxiella sp.
Lineage: Bacteria; Pseudomonadati; Pseudomonadota; Gammaproteobacteria; Legionellales; Coxiellaceae
Description: partial 23S ribosomal RNA
Source: RNAcentral
CCAGUCAGAUUGGGGACACGUGUACUGGAUUUAUAGGUACACAAAGCUAACCUGGGGAACUGAAACAUCUAAGUACCCAGAGGAAAAGAAAUCAACUGAGAUUCCGUCAGUAGCGGCGAGCGAACGCGGAAGAGCCUAGUUAUCAGCUCACUAUUUUUUCUAGCAGAAUGUUCUGGAAAGUUCAACCAUAGUAGGUGAUAGUCCCGUAUGUAAAAGAUAAUAUGGUGUAGAUAACAAUAAGUAGGUCGGGACACGUGUAAUCUUGACUGAAGAUGGGGGGACCAUCCUCCAAGGCUAAAUACUACUUACUGACCGAUAGUGAACUAGUACCGUGAGGGAAAGGUGAAAAGAACCCCGGCGAGGGGAGUGAAAUAGAACCUGAAACCGUAUGCGUACAAGCAGUCGAAGCAUUUCUUUACAGAAAUGUGACGGCGUACCUUUUGUAUAAUGGGUCAGCGACUUACUUGUUGUAGCAAGCUUAACCGUUUAGGGGAGGCGUAGAGAAAUCGAGUCUGAAAUUGGCGUUCAGUUGCAACGAGUMGACCCGAAACCCGARCGAAAAUAUGGGGSGGCGGGGGAAAGUUAGGUAACACUGACUGGAGGGCCCCACCCCCCUAAUGUUGAAAAAAUUAGGGGAGGAGCUGUGGCUAGGGAGGCGGCCGGAAGACGAGGGGAGGG